Molecule: long non-coding RNA, 678 nt
Organism: Bos taurus (domestic cattle)
Lineage: Eukaryota; Metazoa; Chordata; Mammalia; Artiodactyla; Bovidae
Source: Ensembl
GCAAGAGGACUGGAGUGGGGUUCCACUGCCUUCUCAGUUUAGGCCUGCAAUCCAGUUUUUAUAAAAACUCCCUCAGCCUUGCCCUUGCCCCCUCAGACUUGGACCCCAGUGCGUACCCCUGCUUGACUUGCCACACCCCAGGGUGUGCAGAGCUCCUCCAUUCUGGACAGAGGUACUGAAAAGGGCCUUUCUCAGUAGCAGAGUGGAGAAAUAGCUCCCUCCACCUUCUCGGGCAUCCUGAACUCCAGCCCGCCCCACAGGGCUCCCCACGGAUGGGGUGAGAGCAACAAGGUGUUUGCAUCUGGCUUUCUGGACCAGAGUGUAACCUCCCUCCAUCGAGACGCUUCUUGUGCAUCCACCCAGAUCCUCUCAGCCUCACCUGUCUCAGGCCCUCUGCCACUGUCCCACCUCCAGCGUCACCACAGCGAUCAGGGCUCCAUGGACUCCACCCAGCUUCUGGCUCCUGGGGCCACUUUGCUCAGCAAAGGAGACACACAAUGGAAGCAUGACUUGGGGUUCGCUGGUCUUACUAUGUUCCCCGCCAUCCAGGAGGAGCAGCCUAAAGGCACAGCAGAAUGAACAAAGGUACCAGCUCAGUGACAAUACUCCAAAGGGCUAGGGCACUACUGCACCAGCAUCCUGUACGGUGGCACGUCCCCAGCAGCCAUGGUGUAGAGU